Long non-coding RNA from Ictalurus punctatus (channel catfish), 4610 nucleotides. The record is from Ensembl. NCBI's taxonomy places the organism in Eukaryota, Metazoa, Chordata, Actinopteri, Siluriformes, Ictaluridae.
GUUUACAAACAAAAAAAAAACAAACAAAAAAAACAAACAAAAAAAAAACAAAGGCACUGGUCGUCUUCAACCCCAUGAUUUUUAUUUAUUUUUUUUUACAAAAAUUAAUUUGAACAUUUGUAUGGGUUUAGUACAAUAGUACAAAUUUUAAAAUUGCACGAUUACAAAUUCCUGAGUUAUUCAAAUUUAAAGAUCUAAUAAGUGAAAUAUAUUUAGGGGUGUUUAUAUAUAUAUAUAUAUAUAUAUAUAUAUAUAUAUAUAUAUAUAUAUAUAUAUAUAUAUAUAUAAAUAUAUAUAUGUAUGUAUGUGUGUGUGUAUAAAUAUCUAUAUUAUACAGUUUGACUGAGCUACACAUGGUUGACAAUCCUGUGAGAUGAACAUUGUCCAAAUGUCACUAAAACUACUCUAUUAGAUGUCCUGGAGCUGUGUGCGGAAGCAGCAUCAUUUGCCUUCCUUCUCUGACCAUUCCUUGUAACCUCCUGCAUAGUUCUGUGCACUGGAGAGAGAGAGAGAGGGGGGGGGGGGGGGGGCACGCACACACACACGCGCGCGCACACACACACACACACACACACACACACACACACACAGUGACUAUAUAAGUCAGGAAAUUAUCAGUGAAAACAAGGUUUUCCAGUAUGACCCAUGUUUCUAUAAACACUGACAGUAUUACAGUCCCUCCAGAAUUUUGCGAUCGCAGAAAUCAAGGAAACUGCAAUAUUAGCAGGAGCUUAUAAAUUUCACCAAUUCAGUUUUCUGCAAAAAAGCACAAAGAAACUUCAAAAAACACUCAGCAAAAUCAAGCAUUUUUGGCCGCAACAAUCACAAAAAACAAAAUCACAAAAUCCUGUAUGGACUGUCCUUAGCUGCUAACACAAUAACACAUUUAAUCCUGAUCAUACUUGAUGAAGCCGAGGCUUCUGGCUUUCUCUGUAGCAGUGUCUCCACGCCGUCCCAUUUGGCAGUGGAACACCAGUUCAUGGCUAUCCAGAAGGGGCUUGGGGACACCGAAUUUCUCUUGAAAAGCAUGUUCAUCCAAAGAGAAUUCCUUUUCCACAUUUUCCACUACAAGACACAGUAAGGACAUGGUAUACAGUAAUCAUGGGUUAAUAAUAGUAUCUUAUUAAAAGACAAGUCCACCAUGAAACACAUUAAACAUGUUUACACUGAAAUAUUUAUGAUAUGCUUAGCUAUUCUUGUACUAACGUUUUUUGGUUGAUGCUGUAUUUUGAUUCAUUUCUGUGAGAAGUUAGUGGUUGUCUGUCACACUGACAUCACAGGGGGAUGUUGUGGGGAUGUUUAAUAAAAAGAGCAAAAAAAGAACAAGAGCUUCUUUUCUCAUUCAGAAUUUUCCAGUGACGUUCAGUGCCGUAUUAAUGGAAAUAUAACAGAUGUAGGGGGAAGGUAAGAAGGUAAGAAGUAAUAGGAAGGGAACAGUUACAGAGACUCGGCUUGGCUAGUUAGUAGUUGAGAUGAAAAUUAAUGACAGUUGACGUUUCAGAGCCUGAUCAUUUUUUUCUCCCCCAAGCCAUCAGAUUCCUCAAUACCCAGAGACUGGAUCAACACCAACUCACACACACACACACGCACAGACACACAGACACACAGACACACAGACACACACACACACACACACACACACACACACACACACUCAGCUGAACACCAUUCCACUACUUCUGCAUUUUUUGCACAUUUCUUUCUUAAAGUCCCCGUAAAGUGCCUUGAAACAAACAGCAUUAUUCGAUAUGUUGACGUAAUUUUCACUGAAACAGGAAGCCAGGGUCGGCCAUAUCGAGUGGGCCCUCCCCCCUUUUAAAUAACCAGUAAUAUUUAGCUUACCUCACAGCCAGGGCUAAACCAUACUUGACAGUUAGUACCAUGGAUUUUUAUAAUGUUGGGGGCGGGACACUUCAGAUUUUAGAGAGCAUUUGAUUGGACAGAAAAUCUGUUGAGAAACUGAAGUGCAUAAUGAUGUCAUCAGGAGUGUUGAUCCGUAUUGGUGGCAUACAGAGACUGCGAAUUUUGUUAUUGUUCUGGAGCACACCAGCUUAUAGAUAUCCUUAAGGCUAACAUAUUCAUACUAAAAGCCACGAAACUUACAUUUUGAGUUCAUGUUAUUGAACACUUGCGUUCUUGCGGCUAGUUACUAUGUUAUGUUUAUGCACCGUCCUUUACUGUGCCUCGUGUCCUUGUUUAGUAAUCGCUGUACUGUCUUGUCUUUAUGUAGUCCUGUGCAUGUCUUUGUAGUCUUAUUUAGCUAUGUAUUGUUUUAUGUAGCACCAUGGUCCUGGAGGAACGUUGUUUAGUUUCACUGUGUACUUUACCAAUUGUAUAUGGUUGAAAUGACAAUAAAGCCACUUGAACAAUGAAAACAGGUCAACAUGUAUGUGAAAGAAGAAUUACAAAAUAGUCGAUUAAGAAAACCAUUCCAAAAUAAAUCUUGAACACCUCUGUAGAUAGGUAUUAAUUAUAAAAGGUAACAUUCCUUUAGUAAUGAAUUAAUAACUGUGCUAGUACUGGGCAGUAUUACAGUUUAUUGCUCUGUAACUCACCUGGGACAUGGAUGGAGCCUGGGAUGUGUCCUCUGUCCACUUCAUCUUUGGAGCGCACAUCCACAAGCAGAAGGUCUUUACUUUUCUCUUUGAGGGAUUUGAGAUCGCUGUAGGAGAUAACUUUAUCUAGAAAUAUAUUUAAAAAAAAGACAUGCAGAGUCUUGCUUAGCUGCGAAACAGUGGUUCUCAAAGUGGGGUCUCAAAGCAUAGCCAAAGGAGUCUGUGAUUUAUUUAUUAUUUUUUUUACAGUGGUAGAAAUCACAAACAAGGCUACGAUUAUCAAAACUAUUAUUAUAUUCCUUAUAGUUAUUAGCCUUAAUUCAAUGUUCUUAACCCAAAACCUCAAUAACUCAUGAACAAGCAUGUCUAUAAAGAAUGUAUAAAUGUAUAAAUAAUCGGACCUAAUGUGAUGUAAAUCCUCAUUUGUAAGUCGCUUUGGAUAAAAGCGUCUGCUAAAUGAAUAAAUGUAAAUGUAAUGUGUCCAAAAUAUUAUUGUACACAUUUGAACAAUGAGUCUAAUAUUUGAUUAGUUGGAUCAUGUUCAUAAAACAAAUCUGUGCUUAAGGAGUCACCAGAAUAUUUUUUCACUUUACAGUUUUUAUUUUUCACUUUACAGUUUUUUUGUUUGUUGUUUUCUUCCACUUUACAAACCCAAGCUCCUGCAUGGCCAGCCUGAAAAACAGGAAACGCAGGCUCUUUGAUGGGGACGAUUUGUAAAUACAGUAAUAUGCAGAAAUCUACAUUGUAUUAAGAACACAAUGGUUAUUCUGGAGUAUAUCUAACUUUAAAGUGAGCAGUGUGUCAUUCUGUAAAACAGUGAUUUCACCAUAUCUAUAAAACCCCAAUUGGCAAAAACUGCAAGUCAUUAUGCUCUGACGUCACUAAUCUUCAGGGAUCACUUAUAAUAUCAGGGAAAAACAACUGAUGGAAAAAAACAAUUACAGCAGUAUAAAUUCACCAAAGACUAUAAAGACAAGGAUAAAAAGUAACACGGGCCAUGAUAACUGCAACAUUUGUAGUCUAAAAAAUAUCACUAAUGUGUACUAAUUAUGAACCUGAGCAGAGUUAAGGAUACAGGCAGUGUUCCAAGGACACAGAAAGCUUUGAUCUUAUUCUUUAAUCCCAAAUCAGGUAUCACUGAUAAUGCAUAGCCGGUAAUGCAUAGCGCUAAUGCAAUAUUAGUCACGGUUUUACUUGACAUAAGCAUCGUGCUGUGUUGGUGAAAAUGAAAUGUAGUAGAAGUUGUAGAAUGAAUGUACUUACCUGUAUUUGCCAUGUUGACGGUUUAACCUGCUCGGUAAGCAAGAGUUACAGCACUGUACAACUACACUUCCUCGUUCUUGUAUUCAUAUGUAGAUGGGCGUGGCAUAAACGCGGGCCGUCCAAUGGCCGUCUGCUUAAUAUUAAUAUUCAAAAUAGACCCACCCCCUUACGCAACUUACAUAGAAACUGAAAGUCACAUACGACGGUUUAGGAGUCAAUAAUGAAACAAACAAACAAAAAAUACAAACAAACAAAAACAUGUAAAAUAAAAACAGGGCUUACAUAUUGUGUGUUUUUAUUUUAUUUUUAUUGUUAUAGUAGGCUAGGCGUAUAAUUCACUCCAUACAGGAUUUCGUGUUUGACGCACGUGAAUCGAAGAGGUCUUGUUGUGAUGACAUCACCUGGCGCGUCUUGGCCCAAGUCUGCGGUAAUUUUGAAUAAUUGCAAGCUCCUCUGAAAAUUGUGGAGCUUGCUUGAUUUUGCUUUAACUUCUGCGAUUGUAAAAUCCUGGAGGGACUGGUAUGGAUACUGUGUCUGUGAAAUGGAGCAAGAAAUUAUGUAUACUCAUGACCUGGUAUUGUACUCAUUUACACAGGCACCAAGUAAAAUUAACUCUUUUUUUUGUGGUUAGCAUGUUCGCCUCACACCGCUAGGGCUGGGGGUUCGAUUCCCGCCGCUGCCCUGUGUGGGCGGAGUUUGCAUGUUCUCCCAGUGCUGCGGGGGUUUCCUCCGGGUACUCCGGUUUCCUCCCCCAGACCAAAGACAUGCACGGUAGGCUGAUUGGCAUGUCCA